Non-coding RNA from Notechis scutatus (mainland tiger snake), 166 nucleotides. The record is from RefSeq and is a predicted model, not a curated record. Lineage: Eukaryota; Metazoa; Chordata; Lepidosauria; Squamata; Elapidae.
CUUGUUGUGAUGUAUGCACAUAACUCUCAAUUUUUCCUUUAGAUGAACAGUGUACCAAGUUCUACCAUCCAGAUAAAGGAACAGGUCUUCUCAAUAAGAUAUGUCAUGGUAACAUUUGCCGAUGUGCAGAAGAAUCCUGUUCCUUGCUCAACCAGCAGAAAAAGAU